UACGAAGGGGGCUAGCGUUGCCGUCGAAUUACUGGGCGUAAAGCGCACGUAGGCGGCUUUCUAAGUCGGGGGUGAAAUCCUGGAGCUCAACUCCAGAACUGCCUUCGAUACUGGAAAGCUCGAGUCCGGGAGAGGUGAGUGGAACUGCGAGUGUAGAGGUGAAAUUCGUAGAUAUCGGGAGGAACACCAGUGGCGAAGGCGGCGACCUGGGCCAAUAUUGACGCUGAGGUGCGAAAGCGUGGGGAGCAAACAGG
Molecule: ribosomal RNA, 254 nt
Filed under: uncultured bacterium
Lineage: Bacteria
Description: partial 16S ribosomal RNA
Rfam family: Bacterial small subunit ribosomal RNA
Source: RNAcentral